RNAcentral lists this ribosomal RNA (497 nucleotides) under uncultured bacterium. RNAcentral describes it as "partial 16S ribosomal RNA". It matches the Rfam family "Bacterial small subunit ribosomal RNA", at positions 28 to 507 of the family's 1533-position model. The record is from RNAcentral.
GAUGAACGCUGGCGGCGUGCCUAAUACAUGCAAGUCGAGCGAACAGACGAGGAGCUUGCUCCUCGGACGUUAGCGGCGGACGGGGGAUUAACACGUGUAUAACCUACCUAUAAGACUGGGAUAACUUCGGGAAACCGGAUCUAAUACCGGAUAAUAUAUUGAACCGCAUGGUUCAAUAGUCAAAGACGGUUUUGCUGUCACUUAUAGAUGGAUCCGCGCCGCAUUAGCUAGUUGGUAAGGUAACGGCUUACCAAGGCAACGAUGCGUAGCCGACCUGAGAGGGUGAUCGGCCACACUGGAACUGAGACACGGUCCAGACUCCUACGGGAGGCAGCAGUAGGGAAUAUUCCGCAAUGGGCGAAAGCCUGACGGAGCCACGCCGCGUGAGUGAAGAAGGUCUUCGGGUCGUAAAGCUCUGUUAUUAGGGAAGAACAAAUGUGUAAGUAAAUCUGCACGUCUUGACGGUACCUAAACAAAAAGCACCGGCUAACUACGUG